RNAcentral lists this small nuclear RNA (219 nucleotides) under Sorex araneus (European shrew). RNAcentral describes it as "U2 spliceosomal RNA (ENSSARG00000019915.1)". It matches the Rfam family "U2 spliceosomal RNA". From Rfam's summary of the family: U2 is a small nuclear RNA (snRNA) component of the spliceosome (involved in pre-mRNA splicing). Complementary binding between U2 snRNA (in an area lying towards the 5' end but 3' to hairpin I) and the branchpoint sequence (BPS) of the intron results the bulging out of an unpaired adenosine, on the BPS, which initiates a nucleophilic attack at the intronic 5' splice site, thus starting the first of two transesterification reactions that mediate splicing. The record is from RNAcentral. Lineage: Eukaryota; Metazoa; Chordata; Mammalia; Eulipotyphla; Soricidae.
AUCACUUCUUGGCCUUUUACUAAGAUCAGGUGCAGUAUCUGUUCUUAUACACUUAGUAUCUGAUACGUCCUCUAUGUGACAUAUGUUCUCUAUAUCAGAACAAUACAUUAAAAGAAUAUUUUGAGCACUGAGUUGGAAUAGGAGCUUGCUCCAUGCAUUCCAUGCAUCAAUCUGCUAUCGUAUUCAGAUUGAUGCAUAUUCAGGAAUGGUGCACAUCAA